UACGUAGGGGGCAAGCGUUGUCCGGAUUUAUUGGGCGUAAAGAGCGUGUAGGCGGCUUUACAGGUCCGUUGUGAAAACUCGAGGCUCAACCUCGAGACGCCGGUGGAAACCGUAAGGCUAGAGUCCGGAAGAGGAGAGUGGAAUUCCUGGUGUAGCGGUGAAAUGCGCAGAUAUCAGGAGGAACACCCGUGGCGAAAGCGGCUCUCUGGGACGGUACUGACGCUGAGACGCGAAAGCGUGGGAGCAAACAGG
RNAcentral lists this ribosomal RNA (252 nucleotides) under uncultured bacterium. Its description in RNAcentral is "partial 16S ribosomal RNA". It matches the Rfam family "Bacterial small subunit ribosomal RNA", at positions 524 to 776 of the family's 1533-position model. The record is from RNAcentral.